RNAcentral lists this ribosomal RNA (468 nucleotides) under uncultured bacterium. RNAcentral describes it as "partial 16S ribosomal RNA". It matches the Rfam family "Bacterial small subunit ribosomal RNA", at positions 28 to 507 of the family's 1533-position model. The record is from RNAcentral.
GACGAACGCUGGCGGUGUGCUUAACACAUGCAAGUCGAACGGAAAGGCCCUGCUUUUGUGGGGUGCUCGAGUGGCGAACGGGUGAGUAACACGUGAGUAACCUGCCCUUGACUUUGGGAUAACUUCAGGAAACUGGGGCUAAUACCGGAUAGGAGCUCCUGCUGCAUGGUGGGGGUUGGAAAGUUUCGGCGGUUGGGGAUGGACUCGCGGCUUAUCAGCUUGUUGGUGGGGUAGUGGCUUACCAAGGCUUUGACGGGUAGCCGGCCUGAGAGGGUGACCGGCCACAUUGGGACUGAGAUAGGGCCCAGACUCCUACGGGAGGCAGCAGUGGGGAAUAUUGCACAAUGGGCGGAAGCCUGAUGCAGCAACGCCGCGUGCGGGAUGACGGCCUUCGGGUUGUAAACCGCUUUCGCCUGUGACGAAGCGUGAGUGACGGUAAUGGGUAAAGAAGCACCGGCUAACUACGUG